CCAGAUUCUGUGUACAACUUGUUCAGGCUCCUUUCUGGACCAUCAGUCUCUGUCAGUCCAUGAAGGUUGAAACUCUUAUCUCUGUGAAAGCUGGAGUGCAGUCUUCAGGGACCUCUUCCACUGGCUGACCAACAGCAGGAGACUGCCAAACCAACAGAUGGGCUGAGCAGAUUGCCUAAGUCCAAAUGUGAUUGAACACUGAAUAUAUGUUUCCCCAGCUCUAGUUCCAUUGUCCAGUAUGCAAUAUAUACGAUCUUUUCAACCACAGAAUUUUUCCAGGUUUGUGUCUUCUUCAGACAAUGAUCAAAAAAUGACAAGACGAUCAUUCCCCACACAUCAUGCAUCAUAUGCUUCCUAAACCUGGUGGACAUAAGCUGCAAAGAUAGCUAGGCAUUACCUAAAUUAUCUGCAGUCCUUUGACAUGUGAAUCCUGUUCUCACAGGUAAUCCAUUAAAAUAUCAUUUUUCCCUCUGCACAGAGGAAUGUGACAUGGCAGAAAGCACCACGCUCUUUAAUUAUCUGGAUUAAUUCUCCAAGCUAUGGACUAGUUCGGUUAAGUCACACCCUCAAGGUUUUAAGUGUGCCCACAGGCACAGCAAAUAAGACACUGCUAGUUACUCAGUUUUCACUGUAUCCUGGAAAAAUUCCUUGCCACUGCAAUCUAGGGGUCACAGCUAUUGUACUCAGAUCAUUGAUUUUGUAUACUGCUAUAAUAACUAAAGAUACUCUAUUCAGGGCUCAGCACCACAUGAUGAAAACUGGCCUGGGUUGCUAUCAGCUCUUCCUGCGCCCCCCCAGGGAGUUUGUGUCAGUUAGAAAGGUGUUAUUCCAUAAAAUAAAGGGAAGCAAUUUGUUUUUCUAGGAAGUUCAAAGGUCAGAAGGGAAAAUUCAAAUGCAAAAGCUCUUAUCACCAUCUCUUCACUAGAUGCAACUAGUUCUAGUCACAGGCAAGAGAAGAAAUAAUGAAUGAAAGUAACCCCCUUUGGGGGCAUUGGUGCAUCAGGUGCCAGUUACUGAAUUACAGGGCAGACCAAGAUUCAGGUAUGUCAUAUCCUCUGCACAAAAAAACUAGGUCACCUUUUUCACAGAUAUGUGCCAAUUUGAGCAAAGUCUAAUCUAUCAGACAUUACUUAUAAAGGACUCUGACAUUUGCUCGUAUCUAACUUGGUAUCACAACAUAGCUGAUAUCAUCUCAUUAAAAGCAGAGUAGCAUUGAUUGCCAUUAAUGCCCCUGGGUCGAACCAUUUAUUAUUUAGUUAUUGAGCAGAUCUAUAUGGAACAAGAAACUUGUCUUUGCCCCAAGGAUCUUAGUAUAUGUUCUGCUGGAAAAGCAAGUAGUAGAUCUAGAUAUUAUUAAAACCCAUUCCCUGCUACAACAUGAAACAAUUAAGAGCUGGAUUCAGGCUAAAGGUACUGCUGGUUUACUGUUUUAAUGCAGCGAUGCUUAGGAACCUUUGUGGGGGUUUUUUUCUGGUAUUCUUAGUGGAGCUUUACCCUCUUGUCUUCAGAAUAGAAUAAGACAGAGACAGAAAAAGAGCGACGAGUGUAGUGGGAUUUCUCUCUUUGAUGCUGACCAACAGCUGAAGCUGAGAACAAGUUGUGCCAGUGCACUUUUCCAUUGGAACUGGCGGAUUUGCUUUCACAUGAAUGACAGCUCUGCUAGACAGCGCAGGAGAUGAGUGUUUUAAGAGGGACAUGAGCAAAGAAAAGGUAAUAUUUUCAUGCAUAAGGCUGAGAAGGAACUCCUUCAUUAAUGGUCAGCAUGAAAAAAUUGCACAAAAGGGAGAAGAACAGAAAUUCAUAGAUAGAACUAAAUGUGAAGAUGGAGACUGAGAGAAGCAGAGAAACUGGAGGCACAGGGACACAGCAGUGCAGCGGUGGAAAAGAGAGUUACACUCUCUGCAAUGAAUGGGAGCCAGUGGGAAGACUUGAAGAGGAGAGUGGCUUCGUGAUGGAGGACUGAUGAAUCAGAAAAAAAUUUCCUUCUUGCCUUUUGCUGAAUCUAUUUGGCUAAGUAAGGUUUUUGUGCCUUUAGUUGUGCUAUCAGAUAAUCUGUGGAACCUCUGUCACCCCAUAUGCUUACAGAAGAUCCAUGGAGCUUUUUUUGUAUUUUUGGAAGCUGUUUGCCAACAUAAAAUUUUGCAGUGGUUUGUAAAGGCAGCUCAGCAUAAGGAGCAAGAAUCCUUCUGUACCUAAGGGUAGAGCAUUGCAAAGGUGAGUAGCAAGUUCUCAUCUAACACACCACGCACGCAGGCACAAUCUUCCUUUUGCAGCCCAGACAGACUUUACACUCAUGGGUGCUUCUUAGACUGCAAAGACUGGGCAUAGAAAUCAGUCACAGGGCAGAAAGAGAUCUACUUUAAAUAUAUGUCAAUCAAUCCAUUUGCUGUUUGGACUCUGUACAUGGAUUUUUGUGUUAUUUCUUGGCUGUUAAAGUUGGUGCCAGAGUCAAGGCAUUUGUUUUUCUAACACAAUGUUCUAUAUGCGUGAAAGAGGACUUCAAAAGUGGAACAAAGCUCCUGUUGUCAGAACAAAAUCAUAACUUUGCUGAGAACAUAGCUGAACAUGACAGACAUCAGUUACUAAAAAGUACCAUUCUUACUCCUCUAUAUUAAAUAAAAAUCAAAUUUGGAGAACUACUGUCUCAUUAAGCUAUUUUUAAAUGGAAAUUCGAUGACAUCUGCAAA
This is a long non-coding RNA of Grus americana (Whooping crane), 2687 nucleotides long. RefSeq lists it as uncharacterized. The transcript has 4 exons. NCBI's taxonomy places the organism in Eukaryota, Metazoa, Chordata, Aves, Gruiformes, Gruidae. The record is from RefSeq and is a predicted model, not a curated record.